AGUAAAUAGAUACCCGGGUAGUCCACGCCGUAAACGAUGAGUACUAGGUGUAGGAGGUAUCGACUCCUUCUGUGCCGCAGUUAAACACAAUAAGUACUCCGCCUGGGAAGUACGGUCGCAAGAUUAAAACUCAAAGGAAUUGACGGGGGCCCGCACAAGCAGCGGAGCAUGUGGUUUAAAUUCGAAGCAACGCGAAGAACCUUACCUAGACUUGACAUCCCCUGAAUUACCAUGUAAUGUGGGAAGCCCUUCGGGGCAGGGAGACAGGUGGUGCAUGGUUGUCGUCAGCUCGUGUCGUGAGAUGUUGGGUUAAGUCCCGCAACGAGCGCAACCCUUAUCAUUAGUUGCUACCAGUAAGAUGAGCACUCUAAUGAGACUGCCCGGGUUAACCGGGAGGAAGGCGGGGAUGACGUCAAAUCAUCAUGCCCCUUAUGUCUAGGGCUACACACGUGCUACAAUGGUGAGAACAACAAGAUGCGAUACCGCGAGGUGGAGCAAAACUGAAAAGCUCAUCUCAGUUCGGAUUGCAGGCU
RNAcentral lists this ribosomal RNA (533 nucleotides) under uncultured bacterium. RNAcentral's name for it is "bacterial SSU rRNA". It matches the Rfam family "Bacterial small subunit ribosomal RNA", at positions 775 to 1306 of the family's 1533-position model. The record is from RNAcentral.